GGAGGUGUGCCAGAGCGGUCGAAUGGGGCGGUCUCGAAAACCGUUGAACCUUUGGGUUCCGGGGGUUCGAAUCCCUCCACCUCCG
This 85-nucleotide transfer RNA is filed under the name Fodinibius salipaludis. Its description in RNAcentral is "Aliifodinibius salipaludis tRNA". It matches the Rfam family "tRNA". Rfam says of the family: Transfer RNA (tRNA) molecules are approximately 80 nucleotides in length. Their secondary structure includes four short double-helical elements and three loops (D, anti-codon, and T loops). Further hydrogen bonds mediate the characteristic L-shaped molecular structure. tRNAs have two regions of fundamental functional importance: the anti-codon, which is responsible for specific mRNA codon recognition, and the 3' end, to which the tRNAs corresponding amino acid is attached (by aminoacyl-tRNA synthetases). tRNAs cope with the degeneracy of the genetic code in two manners: having more than one tRNA (with a specific anti-codon) for a particular amino acid; and 'wobble' base-pairing, i.e. permitting non-standard base-pairing at the 3rd anti-codon position. Lineage: Bacteria; Pseudomonadati; Balneolota; Balneolia; Balneolales; Balneolaceae. The record is from Rfam by way of RNAcentral.